AUGUUAGGAGAAAACAUCAACUUUCUUUGCUGGAAUGUAAGGGGCCUAAACUGUGUCAAUCGGCGUUCCACCGUCCAUGAAACCAUUGCAGCAACAACCUGUCAUGUUGCCUGCCUACAGGAGACCAAACUUGAUCAUAUGGACCAAUUCAUUGCCUCUUACCUGGGUGGUAAUAGGCUGCGCAGCUUUGCUCAUCGGCCAGCUACUGGCACUAGGGGUGGCAUACUGAUGUUAUGGGACGACAAUGCUGUCCAGAUUUCCGACGUGGUCAGCACCGUCUACUGUCUCUGGGCCAUGGUUCUCAUACGUGCAACUGGGAAUAUGUUCAAGAUCACU
Molecule: ribosomal RNA, 336 nt
Filed under: Triticum aestivum (bread wheat)
Lineage: Eukaryota; Viridiplantae; Streptophyta; Magnoliopsida; Poales; Poaceae
Description: partial small subunit ribosomal RNA
Source: RNAcentral